This is a non-coding RNA of Cinara cedri, 236 nucleotides long. The record is from the annotation of a GenBank genome assembly. NCBI's taxonomy places the organism in Eukaryota, Metazoa, Arthropoda, Insecta, Hemiptera, Aphididae.
UAUGCUACAGCAUUUCAAGAAAUUUUCGGUAUGGUUAUUGAUUAUACAAUAUAAUACAGAUGACCCGUGCUGUGGAACCUAACCAGUAACAGCUGAUGGCUGGCCGCCGCUAUAAAGCGCUGUCAACCGGGGUGUUGGCCCCGUCGUAGGUAGAUAAAUGGGGAAUACGUGGCCGUCGACCGCGGCUGAACAGUGUGACUACAGAACCAAUAAUAAAUUAUGCGUCAUCAUAAGCG